Molecule: long non-coding RNA, 341 nt
Organism: Saccostrea cuccullata (small rock oyster)
Lineage: Eukaryota; Metazoa; Mollusca; Bivalvia; Ostreida; Ostreidae
Exons: 3
Source: RefSeq, a predicted model, not a curated record
CUUUAAGUAUAUACGUAAGCUUCUUUUCUAUUCAUUUAUUGACUUUAUUUUAGAAAACAUGUACAUUUUUAAACCACGGGGCAUUUGGGGCUGUUCUUAAAGAGACUUUGGAUUACGCACAGAAAUGGCAAAGAUACACAGAAAAACAACCAUUGAGAUUUUUUGAUCGGGAGCUAUUGCCUCAUUUGGUUUAUGUUACAAGGCGACUAGCAAAGUUUGUCGGUUGUGAGCCUAAGGAUCUUUUGUUGAUUAAUAAUGUCACUACAGCUAUAAAUACCGUUGUUCACAAUAUUCCGAUAGAAAAGGGGGACAUCAUAUACUGUCUCAAUACAACCUAUGGU